RNAcentral lists this ribosomal RNA (420 nucleotides) under uncultured bacterium. RNAcentral's name for it is "bacterial SSU rRNA". It matches the Rfam family "Bacterial small subunit ribosomal RNA", at positions 382 to 794 of the family's 1533-position model. The record is from RNAcentral.
CCUGAUCAGCCAUGCCGCGUGUGUGAAGAAGGCCUUAUGGUUGUAAAGCACUUUAAGCGAGGAGGAGGCUACUGAGACUAAUACUCUUGGAUAGUGGACGUUACUCGCAGAAUAAGCACCGGCUAACUCUGUGCCAGCAGCCGCGGUAAUACAGAGGGUGCGAGCGUUAAUCGGAUUUACUGGGCGUAAAGCGUGCGUAGGCGGCUUUUUAAGUCGGAUGUGAAAUCCCCGAGCUUAACUUGGGAAUUGCAUUCGAUACUGGGAAGCUAGAGUAUGGGAGAGGAUGGUAGAAUUCCAGGUGUAGCGGUGAAAUGCGUAGAGAUCUGGAGGAAUACCGAUGGCGAAGGCAGCCAUCUGGCCUAAUACUGACGCUGAGGUACGAAAGCAUGGGGAGCAAACAGGAUUAGAUACCCUGGUAGA